UUAUUGCAACGACAUUAUUUUACACCAAUAAAAUCUACUUCCAAUGUUAGAAGAUAGAUAUUCUUUAAUUGCAAUUAUAUGCAUGUGUGUGUGUGCGUGUGCGUAUGCGCGCGCACAUGUGUUUAUCAUUUUAUCCGAAAGCUUUCAUACCAUAGAUAACGCUUUGAAGUAACAGAACUUGGAAUGAAUAUGAAGAAUAUAUGGACUUUUGAAUUGCUCAAAAAGUAUCAGAAGGGAUAGUAUUAAAUUCUUCAUGAAAGUAUAUACGCUAUAAUCGCGAAGGAUUGUUAUAUCGAAAAGCAAAAUUUUUAAUAUAGAAAAUAUUUGAAUUUUUAAAUUGUUCAGCUUCAGCAUGUAUUUUUAUGAUUUUUAUAAUAGGUGUAAGAGAUGUAAGAAAGCUUAGAAAUAGCAUUCUAUUCCUCAAAAGUUUACGAUGUUUAGUAUUUACAAAUAUUAUCUGUCAAAUGGACCGUGAGGUUGAUGUAGCAUCAACUGGAACCGGAUCAGUCGCUGUUUUCAGCAUAAGUUCGCAGCCAUCUCGUUUAAUCGCAUCGAGACGAACCAGAAUCUUGACAUUUUGCAAUGUUAUUUCCAUAAUAUGAUUCUCAUGUAUUAAUAACCAUUCUUUAUGUCAUUUCGCGAAAUAAGGACUAUAUUCUGAGCAUUUGAUAUAAUCAAUCAUAUGAUUAAUUACAAAACAACUCCUCCUAAACUACCAAGGACUAUGUAACUUUGUUUGAAAUACAAGUAUAAGAAGGUUCAGCCUGAAUGCGUGUAUUUAGUGGAUUAUUCUCUUCACGGAGGUUUAUGAGUUCCUAUGACGUUUAAGGUGGAUUACAGGUCAAAAUUUAUAUUGUUAAAACAAAAACAUGUUCCACGAUUAAUAAAAUAUUUAAAGACAUAAAAUAAUAUAAAAUAAGUAAAAUACGAAAAAACAACAAAUGUCAACUUAUUUUCUCAAUAAGGUUUCUUGCAGGUAUGAAUCUAAGCACUGCCACUACUUGAUAUUUACCGAAGACUAUCCUAAUUAUCGAUUCGUAUUCUCUUUAAUGAGUUGGUUCAAUGUUAAAUAAAUUUCGAUUUUGGCAUUGUCAUUUGUGUUCAUAGUUCCAAGGAACAUUGCACCAUGAGAACUGACACUCUUCAUAAAGAUACGAUGCUCUAUUGAUUAUUCGCCGCAAAACCGAAGUCUCUAAUUUCCAAAAAUCGUCAUUUAUAGAUGAACAACGCAGAGACGAUUACAGUUAUCUUCUACUAAAGUAUUUAGGACAAGGUCUACACCUGCAACAACGAUUCGUUGCAAAAUCUUUUUUUUCAUGUUAGUAUCUCGAGAAUUUUCAAUGUGAUGUUAUUCGAUACUAGAAAAUGUUUCUUUAAUGAAUUUACUUUUUUCUGGUUUAUCGACCGUAGUAAUUACUUCACAGCCUUCACGGGGGGCUAUGUUAGUAGUUACUCCGACAAUUUCACCAUAACCAGCAUGGCUAAAGAUUCUUUCACUCUUUAGCAUUCUUCCGUUAAUGUAAAGUACAGCUAUGCAUGUGCAAUAUACACAUGGUACUGUUGCUGCAUUUUCUGAACUGCAACUAUCAGGUACAGUUCGGGAGAAGAAUUAACAAAAAUUUGGUCUAAUUUAGUUUGUCUUCGGUGAUACAAUGUUUGCAUUUUAAAGGAUUACUUUUUAAUUGCAUCACAUUGUUUGAUUCCGGAAAUCAGCGAAUCCGGAAAGAACAACUUUUUCUCCAUGUUUUGCAUUGGUA
Molecule: long non-coding RNA, 1757 nt
Organism: Vespula pensylvanica (western yellowjacket)
Lineage: Eukaryota; Metazoa; Arthropoda; Insecta; Hymenoptera; Vespidae
Exons: 3
Source: RefSeq, a predicted model, not a curated record